CCAAGCUACAGCCCAGGGGGAGGUGGCUUCAGGCUACUGGAGCCUGCUUGGCCUGUGGUCUGCAAAGAUGAGAAGUGCCUGGGAGUUUAUAGCAUCUGGGAGGCAGCUUCUGACUAGUGAUGAAGAAUGCAGGAGGAGGCAGGAACUCCAGGGAAGACGACAGACUUGUCAUCCUCAAAUGUAACUUCCAUGUCUACUUCCAAAGUGUCCACUCUGGUGGUCACCAUCUCCAGCCAGCCGGAAAGGCCAAAAGGACCACAGGAAUCCACACAUAUUAUUUUCAAGGGCAUACCACUUGUGAUCACACCUUGUGGGCCAGAAACGAGUCACGUGGCUUCACUUUGCUGCAAGGGAAGCUAAGAGAUGUUGACCAGUUUGGGCAGCCAUGUGCCCAGCUAAUAGCCUACCACUGUGGGACUAGGGAG
This 425-nucleotide long non-coding RNA is filed under the name Equus caballus (horse). RNAcentral describes it as "lncRNA (ENSECAG00000035970.2)". The record is from RNAcentral. Lineage: Eukaryota; Metazoa; Chordata; Mammalia; Perissodactyla; Equidae.